Molecule: long non-coding RNA, 639 nt
Organism: Pantherophis guttatus
Lineage: Eukaryota; Metazoa; Chordata; Lepidosauria; Squamata; Colubridae
Source: RefSeq, a predicted model, not a curated record
GGAUGUCAAGCCUUGCAUGGCACGGAAUUGAAGUUGUUCAGCAUCAACAGCUGAACACCAAAUCCAGCUCUCAAUCAAGUCUGGAAGGCAUCUGCUUUUUAACAAACUCUGGAGACAGUACUGCCAAAAAAAGACAUUAUGAACAUUGAGGGCAAACCAACUGGAUGAAGCUGUAACUGCUUGGGAGCUUAAGAGAGGGAGAGAUCUCACCAUCUGCAUCAACUCCUUCUUGAUUGGUCUGGGCCGAGUAUCCAAGGUCGCAGUGUCCUGAGGACAACUCUUCUCACCUUCUAUCCUUGAAGAUUUCCUAAACAUCUUUGCAGCACAUUAUUGGUUGAUGAUGGACAUGGGGUAUCCGGGUGCGGGGUGAAAGGGAAAAAUAGCCUAGCGCUUUGUGUCUGAAUUUCAGAUUCCUCCUGACUUCUCUGCAAUCACUAUCUCUCAGUAAAAGUUCCUUUUGAAAUGUAAAUUGUUUCAAGAGUUUUACUUUCUUGGGAAGAUCAUUGAAGUAGGUCGUUACAGAUUCUCAGAGCUGAGAUUUAAAUAAAUAUGAAUAUUGCCAAAGCUUUAAUGCAGGAGCCCUUCUGGGAUUCUGAAUGAGUUACAAAUUUAAUGAGUAAAAGCCACUUCUCAUUGUUA